Molecule: ribosomal RNA, 369 nt
Filed under: Desulfotomaculum sp. FSB6
Lineage: Bacteria; Bacillati; Bacillota; Clostridia; Eubacteriales; Desulfotomaculaceae
Description: bacterial SSU rRNA
Rfam family: Bacterial small subunit ribosomal RNA
Source: RNAcentral
AACGCUGGCGGCAUGCCUAACGCAUGCAAGUCGAACGGAGUUUAGUUAAAAAGCUUGCUUUUUCACUAAACUUAGUGGCGGACGGGUGAGUAACGCGUGGAUAACCUGCCUGUUAGACUGGGAUAACUCCGGGAAACCGGUGCUAAUACCAGAUAAUAAUUAUUUGGCGCAUGCUAAGUAAUUGAAAGGAUUCUGCUAACAGAUGGAUCCGCGUCCCAUUAGCUAGUUGGUGGGGUAAAGGCCUACCAAGGCGACGAUGGGUAGCCGGCCUGAGAGGGUGACCGGCCACACUGGGACUGAGACACGGCCCAGACUCCUACGGGAGGCAGCAGUGGGGAAUAUUCCGCAAUGGGGGAAACCCUGACGCAC